This 31-nucleotide unclassified non-coding RNA is filed under the name Arabidopsis thaliana (thale cress). RNAcentral describes it as "partial miscellaneous RNA". Lineage: Eukaryota; Viridiplantae; Streptophyta; Magnoliopsida; Brassicales; Brassicaceae. The record is from RNAcentral.
AUCUACUUAGAGAAUUUGUGCGCUUGGGAGU